AGGAUUUUAAGUUAAAAAACUAUUAACCUUCAAAGUUAAAAUUACUUUAAAGGUAAGUCUUA
This 62-nucleotide transfer RNA is filed under the name Sinocentrus brevicornis. RNAcentral describes it as "tRNA-Trp". The record is from RNAcentral. Lineage: Eukaryota; Metazoa; Arthropoda; Insecta; Hemiptera; Membracidae.